Molecule: ribosomal RNA, 208 nt
Filed under: uncultured fungus
Lineage: Eukaryota; Fungi
Description: partial 28S ribosomal RNA
Rfam family: Eukaryotic large subunit ribosomal RNA
Source: RNAcentral
UUCCCCUAGUAACGGCGAGUGAAGCGGGAAGAGCUCAAAUUUGAAAUCUGGUAGCCUUCGGUUGCCCGAGUUGUAAUCUAGAGAAGUGUUUUCCGUGCCGGCCCAUGUACAAGUCCCUUGGAACAGGGCGUCAUAGAGGGUGAGAAUCCCGUCCUUGACAUGGACCCCCGGUGCUUUGUGAUACACUUUCAACGAGUCGAGUUGUUUG